Molecule: unclassified non-coding RNA, 435 nt
Filed under: Hevea brasiliensis (rubber tree)
Lineage: Eukaryota; Viridiplantae; Streptophyta; Magnoliopsida; Malpighiales; Euphorbiaceae
Source: RNAcentral
GUUGGAUGGGUCAAAUAAACAUUGAUGGUACCUCUAAGGGUUAUCCAAAAAGAGGUGGUGGUGGAGUUUUUACUGUCUGAUUGGGAAUCUAUACUUCUAUCCUUGUAGAGCUUCAAAGUCUUCUUCAUGGUUUAUGCAUGGCUUAGGAUUUGGGCUAUAGAAAACUCUUUGUAGAGUUGGAUUCAAAAAUUAUCCUUGAAUUUCUCGCUUAUGCUAAGGUAUGUAGCCUGAAGUUUGUGAAUGUUCUUUCGUAGUGCAAGGAACUCCUUCGCCAUCCUUGGCAUGUGCAUUUGGAUCAUUGUUAUCGGGAGGCCAAUGCUGUGGCAGACAAGCUUGCCAAUCUUGUUGUGUUUGCCUCUCAAGGUUUUUGUUGUCUGCCUACCCCUCCUAGGGUGGUUGUUGAUUUGUUGCAGUGUGAUCUUCAUGGUUUAGCAU